AACGUAGGUCCCGAGCGUUGUUCGGAUUCACUGGGUGUAAAGGGCGCGUAGGUGGUUGUCUGUGUCUCAUGUGAAAACUCAGGGCUCAACUCUGAGAUUGCGUGGGAAACUAGGCAGCUAGAGGACGGUAGAGGGGAGUGGAAUUCCCGGUGUAGCGGUAAAAUGCGUAGAUAUCGGGAGGAACACCGGUGGCGAAGGCGGCUCUCUGGGCCGAUCCUGACGCUGAGGCGCGAAAGCUAGGGGAGCGAACCGGAUUAGAUACCCGGGUAGUCCUAGCCGUAAACGAUGGGUGCUAGGUGUUGGGGGGUAAAGACCCUUCAGUGCCGAAGCCAACGCGAUAAGCAUCCCACCUGGGGAGUACGGCCGCAAGGUUGAA
RNAcentral lists this ribosomal RNA (376 nucleotides) under uncultured bacterium. RNAcentral's name for it is "bacterial SSU rRNA". It matches the Rfam family "Bacterial small subunit ribosomal RNA", at positions 524 to 898 of the family's 1533-position model. The record is from RNAcentral.